Molecule: ribosomal RNA, 544 nt
Filed under: Bacillus amyloliquefaciens
Lineage: Bacteria; Bacillati; Bacillota; Bacilli; Caryophanales; Bacillaceae
Description: bacterial SSU rRNA
Rfam family: Bacterial small subunit ribosomal RNA
Source: RNAcentral
UUCUAGAUGUUUUUUAUAUGGCUCAGGACGAACGCUGGCGGCGUGCCUAAUACAUGCAAGUCGAGCGGACAGAUGGGAGCUUGCUCCCUGAUGUUAGCGGCGGACGGGUGAGUAACACGUGGGUAACCUGCCUGUAAGACUGGGAUAACUCCGGGAAACCGGGGCUAAUACCGGAUGCUUGUUUGAACCGCAUGGUUCAGACAUAAAAGGUGGCUUCGGCUACCACUUACAGAUGGACCCGCGGCGCAUUAGCUAGUUGGUGAGGUAACGGCUCACCAAGGCGACGAUGCGUAGCCGACCUGAGAGGGUGAUCGGCCACACUGGGACUGAGACACGGCCCAGACUCCUACGGGAGGCAGCAGUAGGGAAUCUUCCGCAAUGGACGAAAGUCUGACGGAGCAACGCCGCGUGAGUGAUGAAGGUUUUCGGAUCGUAAAGCUCUGUUGUUAGGGAAGAACAAGUGCCGUUCAAAUAGGGCGGCACCUUGACGGUACCUAACCAGAAAGCCACGGCUAACUACGUGCCAGACCCGGGGGAAAUAAAG